Molecule: ribosomal RNA, 254 nt
Filed under: uncultured bacterium
Lineage: Bacteria
Description: partial 16S ribosomal RNA
Rfam family: Bacterial small subunit ribosomal RNA
Source: RNAcentral
UACGAAGGGGGCUAGCGUUGCUCGGAAUCACUGGGCGUAAAGGGUGCGUAGGCGGGUCUUUAAGUCAGGGGUGAAAUCCUGGAGCUCAACUCCAGAACUGCCUUUGAUACUGAAGAUCUUGAGUUCGGGAGAGGGUGAGUGGAACUGCGAGUGUAGAGGUGAAAUUCGUAGAUAUUCGCAAGAACACCAGUGGCGAAGGCGGCUCACUGGCCCGAUACUGACGCUGAGGCACGAAAGCGUGGGGAGCGAACAGG